Talpa occidentalis (Iberian mole) is the source of this 344-nucleotide non-coding RNA. RefSeq annotates it as small Cajal body-specific RNA 2. The record is from RefSeq and is a predicted model, not a curated record. NCBI's taxonomy places the organism in Eukaryota, Metazoa, Chordata, Mammalia, Eulipotyphla, Talpidae. The transcript has a single exon.
GGUGCUGCGUGGCGGCGCGUGCGGGCCGAGUGUGUGCGUGGGCGUGCGAGUGCGAGUGUGAGCGGGCGCGCGUGGGCGUGCGAGGAGAGUGCGUGCGCCCGCCCUGCGCCCCUCCCGCCUACACCUUGAUCUUAUUUGAUCGGGCCGGGCCCCCGCCCGCCGGGCCGGCCCGAGGUGAGAAGCGCCUCCCGCGAAGCCCCCGGGCGCUGUGCGGCGAGGCCUCCGGGCGGGGCGCGUGGCCCCGGGGUCGGCUGCCGGGGCCGCGCUCAGAAGUGAUGAAUUGAUCAGAUAGACGAGGCCGGGCUCGUCCCGGGCCGUUGAUUAUCGAGGCGAUUCUGAUCUGA